RNAcentral lists this ribosomal RNA (437 nucleotides) under uncultured bacterium. RNAcentral's name for it is "bacterial SSU rRNA". It matches the Rfam family "Bacterial small subunit ribosomal RNA", at positions 855 to 1290 of the family's 1533-position model. The record is from RNAcentral.
ACGCAUUAAGUUGACCGCCUGGGGAGUACGGCCGCAAGGUUAAAACUCAAAUGAAUUGACGGGGGCCCGCACAAGCGAUGGAGCAUGUGGAUUAAUUCGAAGCAACGCGCAGAACCUUACCAACGUUUGACAUCCCUAUCGCGGAUCGUGGAGACACUUUCCUUCAGUUCGGCUGGAUAGGUGACAGGUGCUGCAUGGCUGUCGUCAGCUCGUGUCGUGAGAUGUCGGGUUAAGUCCCGCAACGAGCGCAACCCUCGCCUUUAGUUGCCAGCAUUUAGUUGGGUACUCUAAAGGAACCGCCGGUGAUAAGCCGGAGGAAGGUGGGGAUGACGUCAAGUCCUCAUGGCCCUUACGCGUUGGGCUACACACGUGCUACAAUGGCGACUACAGUGGGCAGCCACCUCGCGAGAGGGAGCUAAUCUCCAAAAGUCGUCUCA